RNAcentral lists this non-coding RNA (46 nucleotides) under Schistosoma mattheei. Lineage: Eukaryota; Metazoa; Platyhelminthes; Trematoda; Strigeidida; Schistosomatidae. The record is from RNAcentral.
ACACUGAUGAAGAGUCCCAUACUAGGACGAAACGGCCGUCCAGUGC